GAUGAACGCUGGCGGCGUGCCUAAUACAUGCAAGUCGAGCGAACGGACGAGAAGCUUGCUUUUCUGAUGUUAGCGGCGGACGGGUGAGUAACACGUGGAUAACCUACCUAUAAGACUGGGAUAACUUCGGGAAACCGGAGCUAAUACCGGAUAAUAUUUUGAACCGCAUGGUUCAAAAGUGAAAGACGGUCUUGCUGUCACUUAUAGAUGGAUCCGCGCUGCAUUAGCUAGUUGGUAAGGUAACGGCUUACCAAGGCAACGAUGCAUAGCCGACCUGAGAGGGUGAUCGGCCACACUGGAACUGAGACACGGUCCAGACUCCUACGGGAGGCAGCAGUAGGGAAUCUUCCGCAAAGGGCGAAAGCCUGACGGAGCAACGCCGCGUGAGUGAUGAAGGUCUUCGGAUCGUAAAACUCUGUUAUUAGGGAAGACCAUAUGUGUAAGUAACUGUGCACAUCUUGACGGUACCUAAUCAGAAAGCCACGGCUAACUACGUG
RNAcentral lists this ribosomal RNA (497 nucleotides) under uncultured bacterium. RNAcentral's name for it is "partial 16S ribosomal RNA". It matches the Rfam family "Bacterial small subunit ribosomal RNA", at positions 28 to 507 of the family's 1533-position model. The record is from RNAcentral.